This 253-nucleotide ribosomal RNA is filed under the name uncultured bacterium. Its description in RNAcentral is "partial 16S ribosomal RNA". It matches the Rfam family "Bacterial small subunit ribosomal RNA", at positions 524 to 776 of the family's 1533-position model. The record is from RNAcentral.
UACGUAGGUGGCAAGCGUUGUCCGGAAUUAUUGGGCGUAAAGCGCGCGCAGGCGGUCCUUUAAGUCUGAUGUGAAAGCCCACGGCUCAACCGUGGAGGGUCAUUGGAAACUGGGGGACUUGAGUGCAGGAGAGAAGAGUGGAAUUCCACGUGUAGCGGUGAAAUGCGUAGAGAUGUGGAGGAACACCAGUGGCGAAGGCGCCUAACUGGCCGAUUACUGACGCUGAGCUGCGAAAGCAAGGGGAGCAAACAGG